RNAcentral lists this ribosomal RNA (153 nucleotides) under Drechmeria panacis (nom. inval.). RNAcentral describes it as "Drechmeria sp. TZ-2018a 5.8S ribosomal RNA". It matches the Rfam family "5.8S ribosomal RNA". Rfam says of the family: 5.8S ribosomal RNA (5.8S rRNA) is a component of the large subunit of the eukaryotic ribosome. Lineage: Eukaryota; Fungi; Ascomycota; Sordariomycetes; Hypocreales; Ophiocordycipitaceae. The record is from RNAcentral.
CAAAACUUUCAACAACGGAUCUCUUGGUUCUGGCAUCGAUGAAGAACGCAGCGAAAUGCGAUAAGUAAUGUGAAUUGCAGAAUUCAGUGAACCAUCGAAUCUUUGAACGCACAUUGCGCCCGCCAGCACUCUGGCGGGCAUGCCUGUUCGAGC